RNAcentral lists this ribosomal RNA (253 nucleotides) under uncultured bacterium. RNAcentral describes it as "partial 16S ribosomal RNA". It matches the Rfam family "Bacterial small subunit ribosomal RNA", at positions 524 to 776 of the family's 1533-position model. The record is from RNAcentral.
UACGUAGGGUGCGAGCGUUGUCCGGAAUUAUUGGGCGUAAAGGGCUCGUCGGCGGUUUGUCGCGUCGGGAGUGAAAUCAUCUGGCUUAACUGGGUGCUUGCUUUCGAUACGGGCAGACUAGAGGUAUGCAGGGGAGAACGGAAUUCCUGGUGUAGCGGUGAAAUGCGCAGAUAUCAGGAGGAACACCGGUGGCGAAGGCGGUUCUCUGGGCAUGAUCUGACGCUGAGGAGCGAAAGUGUGGGGAGCGAACAGG